RNAcentral lists this ribosomal RNA (253 nucleotides) under uncultured bacterium. RNAcentral's name for it is "partial 16S ribosomal RNA". It matches the Rfam family "Bacterial small subunit ribosomal RNA", at positions 524 to 776 of the family's 1533-position model. The record is from RNAcentral.
UACGUAGGGAGCAAGCGUUGUUCGGAUUUACUGGGCGUAAAGGGCGCGUAGGCGGCGCGGUAAGUCACUUGUGAAAUCUCUGAGCUUAACUCAGAACGGCCAAGUGAUACUGCAGUGCUAGAGUGCAGAAAGGGCAAUCGGAAUUCCAGGUGUAGCGGUGAAAUGCGUAGAUAUCUGGAGGAACACCGGUGGCGAAGGCGGCAUCCUGGACCGACACUGACACUGAGGCGCGAAAGCGUGGGGAGCAAACAGG